This 869-nucleotide ribosomal RNA is filed under the name uncultured bacterium. RNAcentral describes it as "bacterial SSU rRNA". It matches the Rfam family "Bacterial small subunit ribosomal RNA", at positions 8 to 855 of the family's 1533-position model. The record is from RNAcentral.
AGAGUUUGAUCCUGGCUCAGGAUGAACGCUGGCGGCAUGCCUAAUACAUGCAAGUCGAACGGAAGCAGAGGAGCCUGGCUUUUCUGCUUCAGUGGCGAACGGGUGAGUAACACGUAGGGAACCUGCCUUCUUUCGGGCGAUAACCCAGGGAGACCUGAGCUAAACGCCCAGUGCUUUCAAAGAGGCAUCUUUUUGAAAGGAAAAUGGCCAAGAGAAAUCUUAGCCAUGAAAGAAGAGGGCCCUGCGGUGCAUUAGCUGGUUGGUGAGGUGACAGCUCACCAAGGCGAUGAUGCAUAGCCGGCCUGAGAGGGUGCACGGCCACACUGGGACUGAGAGACGGCCCAGACUCCUGCGGGAGGCAGCAGUAGGGAAUCUUCGUCAAUGGGCGCAAGCCUGAACGAGCGAUGCCGCGUGGGUGAAGGAGCUUUUCGGAGUGUAAAGCCCUGUUGUGGAUGAAAAAGGACAAGAGCAGGAAAUGGCUUUAGUUUGAUGGAAGUCCACGAGGAAGUCACGGCUAACUACGUGCCAGCAGCCGCGGUAAUACGUAGGUGGCGAGCGUUAUCCGGAAUGAUUGGGCGUAAAGGGUGCGCAGGCGGCCUGUUAAGUCUGCAGUAAAAGGGCGAAGCUCAACUUUGCCAGGCUGUGGAAACUGGCAGGCUGGAGGCCAGCAGAGGACGGCGGAACUCCAUGUGUAGCGGUAAAAUGCAUAGAGAUAUGGAAGAACACCAGCGGCGAAGGCGGCCGUCUGGGCUGGAGCUGACGCUGAGGCACGAAAGCGUGGGGAGCAAACAGGAUUAGAUACCCUGGUAGUCCACGCCCUAAACGAUGAGGAGCCGGUGUUGGGAAGCGAAUCUCAGUGCCCAAGCCAA